ACUAACACAACAUUAUUAAGCAAUUAUACUCCAAUAAAAAAAAAGAAAGUGGUAUUAGCAAGUCUACAACAUCCCAUACAGCAGGAGAUGCAGCUGUUGAAAAUAAUUUUUUUAAGAGGUUGUUAAUUUUACAAAAAGCAGAUCGUAAAAUAGAAUUAUAGUCUUUUCAUUUUCAUUUUAUUAUAUUAUUAUUUGGCUGCACCAUGCGGCUGGCAGGAUCUUAGCUGCCUGAUCAGGGAUCGAACCUGGGGCCCUGGCAGUGAAAGCGUUAGUCUAACCACUGGACCUCCAGGGAAUUCCCCUUUUCAUUCUUAAAUAAAAAUAUAUCUCUAGUCAGAGAAAAAAAUGCCUGGAAGGAUAUAUUCCAAAAUCUAUGGUGUCAAUGCUCAUUAGCCACAGGACACCAAGAACAGAUGUGUAGUAGGGCUUAUGGGCAGUGCGGGGCAUCUGGGUAAGAAGAUGCUACAAAGGAGUUAGUAUCAGGUUUGAGCUUGUGGUCGGUGCUUUGGGGGUGGUUCAAGCAAGCAGGGCUCUGCUUUGAAUUGGAUGCUGCUGGGAAGCAGGGUAAUUUUAUGAUUGGAUAUCUUAAUAAUUCACAUGAAGAUGAAUGGAAUGAGGCUAUAAUUGGUAAUAACUAAACAAAAACAAGUUACCCAGUAGCCAGAAUAGGGAGAUGUCUGGUUAGUUUUGUGGUUUGGACGAUCCUCUUGUUAUUGUCUUGUGUAGACGCGAUUACAGAAUGGUCGUGUCUUUGUCUUGAUCUCCACGAUGGCAGUGGCCUUGGCUGAUGUGGGGGUUCUGUGGAGCUGGUUAUGCUCAAUGGGAGAAUGGCAGGCAACAUGCUUUGUCCACAAGACCAAGGCCCGGCUGUGAGUGUUGCCAGCUCUGGCCAUUAGGGGCUGUUUUGCUCUUUCUUAGUGGGAGCACCUCUGUGUGUUGGGAUUAAGAGUGAUUUUCACUUUCUACUUCAUAUUCUGGGAAAAAAAAUUGUUUUUACAGUCAGGUAUUACAUUUAUCUUUAGAAAAAUAGCUAUUUCCUUUCUGAGGAAAAAAAGGAAAAGAACACCUAUAUAAGAAAAUGCUAAACUGGAUAAACCAUAUGCCAGUGCAUUUGGUUUGGUGGGAGGGGCAGACAGCCCAGCUGAGUGCCCCGAACAAGAGUCACAAACGGUGUCAGCUCCACAUCCUGCAGAGCAGCUCCACUCAAACACUUCCCCAGGAGGCAGGCUGGGCGUGCCAGCGUUCGAGUGUAGACUGGAUGGAAAUUGGGGUUGCUCAAGACCUCACUCCAGGGUCCAGGUGUUUAGAAACAUGGCUGGCUUGUCAACACUGGGCGGAGGCCACCUGGACACCUUGGACACCCGCUUGGUGGGGCUGCCAGUGGCCCAGUUUGGAAGAUGAAUUAUAUAUUCACCCUCCUUAGAACGUCAAGGAGGAGGAAAUGUAGAUGUGAAAUACUGCAAAGAGGACAAGUAAGGUGAUCAGUGAGGGGCCAGCGGACAGCCCAGGCCCUCUGUCUUCUGAACUGGAGGAUGAAGAAUCCAAGAGGAGACAGGAGAAUACAGGGAGAGAAAAAAAUAACCUGGAGAAGAGUUGAUGAAGAAGUGGGGAAAUAGUCAAUGAAGUGACGUGGAUAGAAUAGACAGAGGUGGGUCGAAUCUUUGAAAGGACAGACAACUAAAAUCCUCUGACAGAAGGAGAGAUUCCCAGAUCUCUUAAUUCCCGGUGCAUGGGCGCCGUGGCCUCAGGCAGACUUGAGUCCUUUGCAGAAAGGGCAGCCCCCUGAUCCCACCACAAUUCCACCCUGACCCCUUUCUUUUGUCACCACCCUGCACCAGCCCCUGUUUCAGCGAGCAUGCUCUCUCACCCAGGACUUGCUGCCAUGACCCCUCUCCGACCUGCAUGCCCUGCCACCCACUGGACACCUCCCCUGGUGGCCUCACACCCACCUCAGUGACAAUGUUUCAUUCAUUUAUUAAAUUCCAUCUUGCAACCUGCAUUGUGUGCCAGGAGCCACUUGUGCCAGGCUCAGAGGAGACAAUAGACAGCAAGCAGACACUGGCCUGCCCUUACUGGGAAGAUAGAGAUAAGUCAAAUGAGCAACAGCUUGUUACAAUACUUUGUGAGGACACCCUACUCACCCUGUCCCACCUUCAAGCCUGGAUACUAGCAUCAUCAUCAAGCAGCAGUUGGAGCCUCCCAGAAUCCUGGGUCCUCCGGGCUUUUCCACCUCCUGCAUGCCCGCAUGUCCAGGUGAUUCUCUGUGCCAGUAUGUCACCUCCUUUUCUUUCUCCAUGACCUCUGCCUAGACUCCUAGUCUGCCACCUCCAAUCUCCACCCAAAACCCUCCUCCACAUUGCUGCCCAAGUUUCCUUUUCUAUUUUUUUUGCGGUACGCGGGCCUCUCACUGUUGUGGCCUCUCCCGUUGCGGAGCACAGGCUCCGGACGUGCAGGCCCAGCGGCCAUGGCUCACGGGCCCAGCCGCUCCGCGGCAUGUGGGGUCUUCCCGGACCGGGGCACGAACCCAUGUCCCCUGCAUCAGCAGGCGGACUCUCAACCACUGCACCGCCAGGGAAGCCCCCAAGUUUCCUUUUCUAAAUUACUAAUGUGAUCACAGUAUUCCCAAGAUUAAGAACUUCUUUACAGGAACUUCAAAGAGAAAUAGAAAGUCAUUGGAGAUAGAAUUUAAUUCAAGACUCUUGGUCCAUAAGAGAAUAAGUAGAUGUGGAUACACACACACACACACACACACAGCAUGUAAAAGAACGAAAUAACAUAAAUAAUAAGGUAGAACUAAUUUAUAUGGGGUUUUUUCCUCUAAAGAUAGAUAAUAGAAGAGCCUGAGGAAAAUUCACCAAAAUUGACCAUAUUUUAGGAAAUAAAGAAAACCUUAAUAGAUUUCAAAAAGCAGAGUACAAUCUUCUGAUUGUAAUACAGUAAGACUAGAAUUUAGUAACCAACAGAAGAUAAAAAGUCACUACCACCUGGAAAUAUGUUUUUAAAAUUUAUCCUAAACAACUUGAGUUAAAGAGGAAAUAUAAAUCAAGAAAGGAAGAUUAUCUAGAAAGUAAUGAUAAACUCUUUGGAAACAUCAAAAAUGAUGAAUGCACAAAACUUUUAUCCAUGCUCUUUUUUCCCUACCGCAUUUGAAAGCCCCCUCUAUAGUGUGUACCCUGUGACACCCUGCCCACCUUUCUCUGUUCUCUCCAUAUUUCCGUGGCUCUUGCCACUGAAUUUCUCAACAGUUCUAGAAGCUGCCACCUUCUUUUACCCCUCCACACCUUUGCACCUUUAUGCCAUUUGCCUGGAAUGUCCUUUCCCUUCUUACCUACCUAGCAAACUACCUACCUGUUUACUCUUUAAGACUCAGCUUUGUGGUCCCUUCCUUUGUGACGCCUCACACAGAAUCGUCCACCCCUUCCCCCUGUCCCCAGAGGCCUUGGCACCGUCCUCUGGAGAAGAUGGUGAGUGAAAAGAGAACCCGGGUCAGGUCUCAGCUGCCCAGGCCAGCAAUUUCAACGCUGUGUCACUAACACCCAACUCCCUUGUCCCUGUCACCUUCCACCCUCUUGGAAGCUGGCUGCAUUUCUAGGGGCUCUUUGCUCUAGGUCCAUUAAUAUCGAUAGAUAAAACAAAAACAGGAAAUUGUGUUAAUUCUGCACAUGAACAAACUCAUCUGUCCUUAGCUGACCCCCACCCCCUUUAGGCUGGCUCACAAAUAGCCUCCUCUUGGGGCCCUCACACAGUGGUUCCAAGAAUGUGUCCCAGAGAUUACAUGUGUUCUUUGAGAUAUGAAUGGGGUUUUCUGUGUUUUGUUUUGGAAGAAGUUAAGGAAGGAAAGUGUUCCCCCAUAAAUUUGGGAAAUGCUAGGUUGAACAAAAAGUUAUAUCAAAUCACCACGAUGUACACUUCAAACAUCUUACAAUUUUAUAUGUCUAUUGUACCGCAGUAAAGCUGAAAUUUCUAAAAAGUGUUAAACUGGUCUCAUGUUGAACGGUUUAUCAGGGGACUGCCCUGGUGGCCCAAUGAUUAAGAAUCUGCCUUCCAAUGCAGGAGACGUGGGUUAGAUCCCUGAUUGGGGAACUAAGAUGCCACACACCAUGGGGCAACUAAGCCCGCGUGCCACAACUAGAGAGCCUGCGUGCCACAACUAGAGAGCCUGCGCGCCUCAGUGAGGAGCCCGCGCGCCGCAAUGAAAGAUCCUGCAUGCCACAACUAAGACCCGAUGCAGUCAGAUAAAUUAAUUAAUUAAUCAAUUUAAAAAAACAGUUUAUCAGAACUUUUAAUCACUGAUAAACAUUAUGAAGCAGCAAAUAGUAUGCAAAUUUCCCCAGAGUACUUGAACUUGGAACCUUUUAGUUAACCAUGCCCUAUUACCUCGUGAAGAACAGUAACAUUUUCUUCUUCUUCCUUUUUUUUUUUUAAAGAUUUAAUUUUACUUAUUUUUGGCUGCAUUGGGUCUUCAUUGCUGCGUGGGCUUUCUCUAGUUGUGGCGAGCGGGGGCUACUCUUCGUUGUGGUGCAUGGCCUUCUCCUUGCAGUGGCUUCUCUUAUUGGGGAGCAUGGGCUCUAGGUGUGCAGGCUUCAGUAGUUGUGGCAUGCGGGCUCAGUAGUUGUGGCGCACGGGCUUAGUUGCUCCGCGGCAUGUGGGAUCUUCCUGGACCAGGGACUGAAUCCGUGUCCCCUGCAUUAGCCGGCGGAUUCUUAUCCACUGUGCCACCAGGGAAGUCCCAAGAGCAGUAACUUUUUUUGAAACAGAGUGGAAAGUGCUACACUCCUUUUCCUCACCAUUAGCGGCUGACCUGAUCUUUUGUUUUACUGGAGAAUUUGAAGCCAUACAGAAACUGCUCCCUGAUCCAGCUUCCUCCCUGACACAAACUCUCUCUCCUUCAUAUUUUCUCUUCCUUUCCAUAGAACUCAGAGAAUCAUUCUUUCCUUAUUCUUUCCUUAUAUUCUCGAUGCAGUACAUUCCCUUGCUCUAUUUGUCUCCUUAUUCAUCUCUUUCUCUUUCCUGAUAUCACUUCUCCACUUUCAGUCAUUCUUGUCUUAGUGUGGAUCACCCUAGAAGCAGACCCUGAGGUGGGAGGGACUGGGUAGGUGAAGGGGGUGGGGUGGGGAAGGAGUGAUACGGCAAAAGAAAGUCACCAAAAGCAAUGGCAAGCCAAGUACCACAGUGAGCACUGGAGCUGAAUCCCGCAGGGCAAACUGGAAAACGUUACAGAACACGUGCCUCCGAAGUAUUCCUGCGAAGGGGUGAGGGAGCUGGGGCAUUCAUACCCCGUAUGUCAGGCAUCGGUCAAGGGCUACAAAGGAUGAGGGGUUGUUAUUUCCCAGACACUCCCCCUCAGCCGUGUGUUUGCCAAAGUGGGUUCCCACACCUUUAAACCAGUGGUUCUCAACUGGGGGUGAUAUUGUUCCCCCAGGGGACACUUGGCAAUGUCUGGAGACAUUUUUGAUUGUCACACUGGUUGUGGAGGUGCUAAUAGCAUCCAGUGGAUAGAAACCAGGGAUACUGCCAAACAUCACAAUACACAGAACAGAUACCCUCCUCUCCAGCCCCCCACCCCAAGCCUAACAAAGAAUUUUCUGGCCCAAAAUGUCAAUAGAGCUGCGGUUGAGAAACCCUCACCUUUAACAGUGACACAGGUACUGGCAGAGGGCAUGCCAGAAAUGGUAAGGGGAUCCUUGAGAACAUGAGUAGAGUCUUCUAUGGUGCUCGAGGCACUCUAGUCUAACAUCAACCACAAAAUUGUCUCAACCUUGCUACCCUUAAGCAGCCAUUCCAUCUGUUGUGGACUGAAUGUUGUCCCCCCAAGAUUCACUGUCCCCAGAUGUGAUGGCAUUAGGAGGUGUGUCUUUGAGAGCUAAUUAGCAUUAGAUGAGGUCAUGAGGGUAGCGCCCUCCUGAAUGGGAUUAGUGACCUUGUAAGAGUCAUAGGAGCACUUGCCUCCUCUCUCUGCUCUCUGCCACGCGAGGACACAAUGAGAAGUCAGCAGUCUACAACCCAGAAGAGAGUUCUCAUCAGAACCAGAUGAUACUGGCACCCUGAUCUCGGCCUUCCAACCUCCAGAACGCUAAGAAAUAAAUUUCUGUUGUCUAUAAGCCACCCAGUCUGUGGUGUUUUGUUAGAGCAGCCUGAACGGAUUCAGACACCACCCCUCUCUCUCCUUCUACUCUCACACAGCUGAAGAGCACCCACCCCUCUGCUCCCACGUCCUCACACCCGGUCUCCUGCUGGCCACCUGUGAUCUGGCCUCUCUCAUCACGACUCUGAAUAUCUUUCCUCCGGAGAUCACUAGUGAAGUCAUGAUUGCUAAAUUGACACUUCUUGGAACUUACUUUGCUGCACUUCUCUGCAUUCUUUGAAACUCAUCUUCCUGGCUUUGGGACACCCUGUAACCCUGGUUCAGCAUCUAUUGCUCCAACUAAGUGAAGACUAGUCACUGGCAGCAGGUCAAGGGGAGCUGGCAAGGACCUGGAAUCCAUGGAACCUGAGCCCACGUAAAUGCAGGGGAAUAAGGCCAUCUGGGUGACUUAGAAGCCAGACAAGCAGUUCUAGAAAACAAGGUGCCCCAAGGGCAAUGCCAGGAGGCAAACAGCAGCCUGAUGAAGCUCCCAGGAGCAUGCAGCCUGAGGUCCCAGAUCUGAGACGGCAGCAGGAGGGCUGCAGGGUCGGAGGAAGUAGAAAGGGAUGCUGGUCCAGAGCAGUCACAGUGCUAGUGCUGGACAUGAGCACUGGCCGUUAUCCUCAGGAAGUCAGACCAAACAGAGGAGCAGCAAAGAAAGCAAGUGAGACAAUCGUAUGAAAAUGCAACAGUAAAAACAUGGUACCAGGACGGCAGAGGGGAAAAGUCAGAAAAGCCUUUGUGGAGUCGGUGACACAGGAGCUGGGUUUUGAGUGAAGAAUCAGAGUCAGACCCCAAGCUGAAAGAAGAGGAUGACACCAGAGAGGGGACAUCGGGUGCAAAGACACAGCACCAGAGCCAUGAAACGGUCCUUAAGUGUGACUGGAGGGCAAGUCUGAGGAAGUGUUUGGGGUACACUGGCAAGCUCACUGGGGGCCUUGAAUGCUAAGCCAAGGACCCAGAACAAUCCUGUGGGAAAUGGUGAAUGAUCUUUAAGCCCAGGAGAAGUGUGAUCAGAUUUGACCUGAGACAGUUAAAAGGUCACGUCGUUGUUUGAACAGACAAAGGAGAUAAAGGCAAGCACUGAAGCAUCAAUCAUUUAUCCAGUAGCUUUUUAUUAUUCAGUAGCUUUUUAUUAAACACUCCAUGUCAGGCACUAGUCUCAAGACUAGGGAUACAGACCUGAACACAUAGACAAGGCUCUCUGGCCUCAAGUAGGGGUGUGUGUGUGUGUGUGU
Orcinus orca (killer whale) is the source of this 7362-nucleotide long non-coding RNA. RefSeq lists it as uncharacterized. The transcript is spliced from 3 exons. The record is from RefSeq and is a predicted model, not a curated record. NCBI's taxonomy places the organism in Eukaryota, Metazoa, Chordata, Mammalia, Artiodactyla, Delphinidae.